UUUUUUUUCUUUCCUUUUCUUCCCUUCUCCUUUUUCUUUUCUUUUUCUUCUUUUCUUCUCCUUCCCGAAGCUUCCUCUCCUCCCUUCUUCUUUCAUCCCGAUCUCCCCUUCCUCUUCUCCUCUACUCUCCGGCGAAGAGAGGACGACGGUCUCCUCCUCUCUUCUCCGACGAAGGGAGGACGGCGAGUGGAAGGGGGGACGGCGAGCGGAAGGGGGCCGGGCCACGACCGGCGGCGUCCGCAGCCAAGCCCCGCGGCGUCCCCGG
This 265-nucleotide long non-coding RNA is filed under the name Phoenix dactylifera (date palm). RNAcentral describes it as "long non-coding RNA (PDAC_LNC021436)". The record is from RNAcentral. Lineage: Eukaryota; Viridiplantae; Streptophyta; Magnoliopsida; Arecales; Arecaceae.